Molecule: ribosomal RNA, 253 nt
Filed under: uncultured bacterium
Lineage: Bacteria
Description: partial 16S ribosomal RNA
Rfam family: Bacterial small subunit ribosomal RNA
Source: RNAcentral
UACGAAGGGGGCUAGCGUUGCUCGGAAUCACUGGGCGUAAAGGGUGCGUAGGCGGGUCUUUAAGUCAGGGGUGAAAUCCUGGAGCUCAACUCCAGAACUGCCUUUGAUACUGAGGAUCUUGAGUUCGGGAGAGGUGAGUGGAACUGCGAGUGUAGAGGUGAAAUUCGUAGAUAUUCGCAAGAACGCCAGUGGCGAAGGCGGCUCGCUGGCCCGAUACUGACGCUGAGGCACGAAAGCGUGGGGAGCAAACAGG